Molecule: ribosomal RNA, 819 nt
Filed under: uncultured bacterium
Lineage: Bacteria
Description: bacterial SSU rRNA
Rfam family: Bacterial small subunit ribosomal RNA
Source: RNAcentral
AGAGUUUGAUCCUGGCUCAGGAUGAACUCUGGCGGCGUGCCUAACACAUGCAAGUCGAGCGAUUCUCUUCGGAGAAGAGCGGCGGACGGGUGAGUAACGCGUGGGUAACCUGCCCUGUACACACGGAUAACAUACCGAAAGGUAUGCUAAUACGAGAUAAUAUGCUUUUAUCGCAUGGUAGAAGUAUCAAAGCUUUUGCGGUACAGGAUGGACCCGCGUCUGAUUAGCUAGUUGGUGAGGUAACGGCUCACCAAGGCGACGAUCAGUAGCCGACCUGAGAGGGUGAUCGGCCACAUUGGAACUGAGACACGGUCCAAACUCCUACGGGAGGCAGCAGUGGGGAAUAUUGCACAGUGGGCGAAAGCCUGAUGCAGCAACGCCGCGUGAGCGAUGAAGGCCUUCGGGUCGUAAAGCUCUGUCCUCAAGGAAGAUAAUGACGGUACUUGAAGAGGAAGCCCCGGCUAACUACGUGCCAGCAGCCGCGGUAAUACGUAGGGGGCUAGCGUUAUCCGGAAUUACUGGGCGUAAAGGGUGCGUAGGUGGUUUCUUAAGUCAGAGGUGAAAGGCUACGGCUCAACCGUAGUAAGCCUCUGAAACUGAGAAACUUGAGUGCAGGAGAGGAGAGUGGAAUUCCUAGUGUAGCGGUGAAAUGCGUAGAUAUUAGGAGGAACACCAGUUGCGAAGGCGGCUCUCUGGACUGUAACUGACACUGAGGCACGAAAGCGUGGGGAGCAAACAGGAUUAGAUACCCUGGUAGUCUACGCCGUAAACGAUGAGUACUAGCUGUCGGAGGUUACCCACUUUCGGGGCGCAGCUAAC